GACGAACGCUGGCGGCGUGCUUAACACAUGCAAGUCGAGCGGUAAAGCCCUUUCGGGGGUACACGAGCGGCGAACGGGUGAGUAACACGUGGGUGACCUGCCCUCAGCUCUGGGAUAAGCCUGGGAAACUGGGUCUAAUACUGGAUAUGACUCCACGGUGCAUGUCGUGGGGUGGAAAGCCUUGUGCGGCUGAGGAUGGGCCCGCGGCCUAUCAGCUUGUUGGUGGGGUGANGGCCUACCAAGGCGACGACGGGUAGCCGGCCUGAGAGGGCGACCGGCCACACUGGGACUGAGACACGGCCCAGACUCCUACGGGAGGCAGCAGUGGGGAAUCUUGCGCAAUGGGCGAAAGCCUGACGCAGCGACGCCGCGUGAGGGAUGACGGCCUGGUGUAACU
This 397-nucleotide ribosomal RNA is filed under the name uncultured bacterium. RNAcentral's name for it is "bacterial SSU rRNA". It matches the Rfam family "Bacterial small subunit ribosomal RNA", at positions 28 to 430 of the family's 1533-position model. The record is from RNAcentral.